GGUCCAGUGGCAAAAUAGCAACGUGCUUGGCUACGAACCAAGACAUUUCAGGUUCAAUACUUUCCUGGAUCG
This is a transfer RNA of Sporothrix schenckii ATCC 58251, 72 nucleotides long. It matches the Rfam family "tRNA". Rfam says of the family: Transfer RNA (tRNA) molecules are approximately 80 nucleotides in length. Their secondary structure includes four short double-helical elements and three loops (D, anti-codon, and T loops). Further hydrogen bonds mediate the characteristic L-shaped molecular structure. tRNAs have two regions of fundamental functional importance: the anti-codon, which is responsible for specific mRNA codon recognition, and the 3' end, to which the tRNAs corresponding amino acid is attached (by aminoacyl-tRNA synthetases). tRNAs cope with the degeneracy of the genetic code in two manners: having more than one tRNA (with a specific anti-codon) for a particular amino acid; and 'wobble' base-pairing, i.e. permitting non-standard base-pairing at the 3rd anti-codon position. Lineage: Eukaryota; Fungi; Ascomycota; Sordariomycetes; Ophiostomatales; Ophiostomataceae. The record is from Rfam.